Molecule: ribosomal RNA, 253 nt
Filed under: uncultured bacterium
Lineage: Bacteria
Description: partial 16S ribosomal RNA
Rfam family: Bacterial small subunit ribosomal RNA
Source: RNAcentral
UACGGAGGGGGCUAGCGUUGUUCGGAAUUACUGGGCGUAAAGAGCUCGUAGGCGGUCUGUUACGUCUGCUGUGAAAACCCGGGGCUUAACCCUGGGCUUGCAGUGGAUACGGGCAGACUAGAGGCAGGUAGGGGAGAAUGGAAUUCCCGGUGUAGCGGUGAAAUGCGCAGAUAUCGGGAGGAACAUCAGUGGCGAAGGCGGCUACCUGGCCCAAUACUGACACUCAGGUGCGACAGCGUGGGGAGCAAACAGG